UACGUAGGACACGAGCGUUAUCCGGAUUUACUGGGCGUAAAGCGCCUGUAGGCGGUUCUUCAAGUCGGUUGUGAAAGCCCUGGGCUCAACUCGGGGAGGCCAAGCGAUACUGGAGGACUUGAGGGUGACAGAGGGGAGUGGAAUUUCCGGUGUAGCGGUAAAAUGCGCAGAUAUCGGGAAGAACACCAGUGGCGAAGGCGGCUCCCUGGGUCACACCAGACGCUGAGAGGCGAAAGCGAGGGGAGCGAACAGG
Molecule: ribosomal RNA, 253 nt
Filed under: uncultured prokaryote
Description: partial 16S ribosomal RNA
Rfam family: Bacterial small subunit ribosomal RNA
Source: RNAcentral